Molecule: long non-coding RNA, 476 nt
Organism: Cavia porcellus (domestic guinea pig)
Lineage: Eukaryota; Metazoa; Chordata; Mammalia; Rodentia; Caviidae
Exons: 2
Source: RefSeq, a predicted model, not a curated record
CCUCUUAACCCCUUCCCUCCCGGCACCAGCCACGGGCACCUCCAGUGCUUCCCACCCUCUCCAAACCACCUUGCUUCUCCUACCUGCCUGUUCUCGUUUCCAGAGGAACAAACAGAACUGCUCUCCGGUCCACACAGCAGGACCAGCCUGGUCCAGCGGACCCUGCCCAAAGCUGGAGCAGGAGGACAGAAUCUCCGAGCAAGGCAAUGGGACAAGGGCAGCUUGGAGACACGUGGCUCAGGGAGCACCAGGUUGGAAGCCGGAGCAGUGCGGCUGCAGGACCUCUCCCUCCUUCCACACCCCCUGCCACCACUCCAGACAAACAGACCAUGGUGACCUAGGCCUGCCCGUAGCUGGGCCCAACAGGCAAGUGCUCUGAGUUGUGCGGUCUAAUUUCAAACCCAGAUUGUCAAAAAUAAACCCCUCUCACCCACUUCCUUCCUGUAAUGUCUAAAUAAAGGCCCUGGGGUUUUCAA